This 253-nucleotide ribosomal RNA is filed under the name uncultured bacterium. RNAcentral's name for it is "partial 16S ribosomal RNA". It matches the Rfam family "Bacterial small subunit ribosomal RNA", at positions 524 to 776 of the family's 1533-position model. The record is from RNAcentral.
AACGUAGGAGACAAACGUUAUCCGGAGUUACUGGGCGUAAAGGGCGCGUAGGCGGUUUGUACAGUCAGGUGUGAAAUUCCCGGGCUCAACCUGGGGGCUGCACUUGAUACGUAUGGACUGGAGUGGGGAAGAGGGUCGUGGAAUUCCCAGUGUAGAGGUGAAAUUCGUAGAUAUUGGGAAGAACACCGGUGGCGAAGGCGGCGACCUGGUCCUUGACUGACGCUGAGGCGCGAAAGCGUGGGGAGCAAACAGG